AGUGAACGCUGGCGGUAGGCCUAACACAUGCAAGUCGAACGGCAGCACAGUAAGAGCUUGCUCUUACGGGUGGCGAGUGGCGGACGGGUGAGGAAUACAUCGGAAUCUACUUUUUCGUGGGGGAUAACGUAGGGAAACUUACGCUAAUACCGCAUACGACCUACGGGUGAAAGCAGGGGAUCUUCGGACCUUGCGCGAUUGAAUGAGCCGAUGUCGGAUUAGCUAGUUGGCGGGGUAAAGGCCCACCAAGGCGACGAUCCGUAGCUGGUCUGAGAGGAUGAUCAGACACACUGGAACUGAGACACGGUCCAGACUCCUACGGGAGGCAGCAGUGGGGAAUAUUGGAAAAUGGGCGCAAGCCUGAUCCAGCCAUACCGCGUGGGUGAAGAAGGCCUUCGGGUUGUAAAGCCCUUUUGUUGGGAAAGAAAAGAAGCAGGUUAAUACCCCGCUGUUCUGACGGUACCCAAAGAAUAAGCACCAGCUAACUUCGUG
This 492-nucleotide ribosomal RNA is filed under the name uncultured bacterium. Its description in RNAcentral is "partial 16S ribosomal RNA". It matches the Rfam family "Bacterial small subunit ribosomal RNA", at positions 29 to 507 of the family's 1533-position model. The record is from RNAcentral.